AUAAGGCAGCUCACGUUAAUAACCCCUAAACAAAGGAUUAAACUAAAUGAAACUCCUGCCAGAAUGUCUUUGGUUGGGGCGACCGCGGGGAAAAACUUAACCCCCAUGUGGAAAAGGAGGACACCUCCUACAACCAAGAGUUACCACUCCAAGUAACAGAAUUUCUGACCAAAAUGAUCCGGCAAAGCCGAUCAACGGACCG
Molecule: ribosomal RNA, 202 nt
Filed under: Trachichthyidae environmental sample
Lineage: Eukaryota; Metazoa; Chordata; Actinopteri; Trachichthyiformes; Trachichthyidae
Description: partial 16S ribosomal RNA
Source: RNAcentral